This 253-nucleotide ribosomal RNA is filed under the name uncultured bacterium. Its description in RNAcentral is "partial 16S ribosomal RNA". It matches the Rfam family "Bacterial small subunit ribosomal RNA", at positions 524 to 776 of the family's 1533-position model. The record is from RNAcentral.
UACGUAGGGUGCAAGCGUUGUCCGGAAUUAUUGGGCGUAAAGAGCUCGUAGGUGGCCUGUCGCGUCGGCUGUGAAAACUCGGGGCUCAACUCCGAGCUUGCAGUCGAUACGGGCAGGCUAGAGUUCGGCAGGGGAGACUGGAAUUCCUGGUGUAGCGGUGAAAUGCGCAGAUAUCAGGAGGAACACCGGUGGCGAAGGCGGGUCUCUGGGCCUUACCUGACGCUGAGGAGCGAAAGCGUGGGGAGCGAACAGG